AGCCAGCAACAGAUGCAAUGAGCUUCUCUUCUCCCAUAUACGUUCCAUGGCCCCUGAUGCAAGGCGAAGAUACAAAGAAAGGAUAUGACGAUGAGGAAACUGACCGUGGAGAGGCAAUGCCGCUAAUAAGAUGUGAUGGUAGCAGGACUGGAACCCCAACUGUCUGACUCAAGAGCCUUCCCUCUUAACCACAAUACACUGCACUACACCCCUUAGAUUCAAAAUGUGUAUAAAUGGGUGCAUGCAGCACAAUGUAACUGUUUGCCCUAAGCUCGAACAAUUACGGAUUCUAAACUGAAGAGGAGGCAGCCAAGAACGCCCACCAUCCCCUCAGCUGAAAACUGGAAAAGAGCCUGCGCCUAACCCUCCCCAGCUUUCCAGGUCUCCCACAAGGAAGGAUCAAAGAUUUGGACUUCAGGCAGAAGACCCAAAAGUCACAGCCACCGGAGGUCAGGAGUGGAGGGUUUCAGGGAGCUGAGACAAAUGCAGACGGGGACACACAAGAUGCAGGGAGCAAGAAGCACGAGGCUCGGAAGCGAGGCGAGUAGGAUGCUCAGACGAAGUGCCUUGGGUCCCGCGGGGAGUUACACACACAGGGAUACGAGGCCUGGACCACGUGCAGAGAGCCCUGAAGCCGCUCUCUGAAGCCUCGACUCCCCCAAGUCCCCACGUACCGCAUGAAUCCUGUGUCCGUAGUGAUUGUAUCCCCCGGCACCACUAGAUGUUUCUUAGUGUCGCGGCCUAGUCUCUCGCUAAGAGGCUUGCGAGCCACUGGAAGCCUCAUCUCCAUCGCCAUCUUGGCGCCAAUGAGUUGCGCAGGCGCAGCUCAGUCGGGAGCUGCGAUAUCCGACUCCACAACUCCCGGCCGCGUUCGGAGGGGCGGGGAAAGGCGGGGACUCAGAGCAGCUGCCAAUGAGAACUCACGGCCUAGAGGCCAUGUUUACAAUUGGCAACAACAAGGCGAACCCGAAGGGAAGGGAGCCGAGCUGCCAUGUCUACUAUUGGCAAGGGAGCAGCCGUGGAAUAAUAAAAUCUCACGUUGUGUGGCGUGUGAGUUUUUACCAAAA
This is a long non-coding RNA of Gorilla gorilla gorilla (western lowland gorilla), 1067 nucleotides long. RefSeq lists it as uncharacterized. The record is from RefSeq and is a predicted model, not a curated record. The transcript has 2 exons. NCBI's taxonomy places the organism in Eukaryota, Metazoa, Chordata, Mammalia, Primates, Hominidae.